This is a long non-coding RNA of Homo sapiens (human), 949 nucleotides long. RefSeq lists it as uncharacterized. Lineage: Eukaryota; Metazoa; Chordata; Mammalia; Primates; Hominidae. The transcript is spliced from 5 exons. The record is from RefSeq and is a predicted model, not a curated record.
AUGAGAAAGGCAAAGAAUAACAAAAGUGAAAUCAGUGAUUUCAAAUAAUUAUCUAAGAGGUGCUUAACAAUAGCUUAUUCCAACAAAGAGCUACACUCGAGGCUAUUAAUAGAGCAAGUAUUUGGAACAAUGAGAUGCAGAGAGCACCCAGCUUCAGCUGAUGGCUCUGAGGAAGACCUCGAUUUUUACAGGUGAUACCAUUUGUGCAGGGAUACUUCCAAUUAUUUAAUAUUUUGUUUUAAGAGUAAAAGAAGAGACAAAGAAGGUAUAUGAUUAUAAUAGCAAGAAAAUAAGCAUCACAGUGAACAUAAGGAAUCUCCCAAGUUCCAAGAAGUGUGUCUGGCAUACAGUAGGCUUUGAUUCUCUGCUGGAUAAGAAGAUCACCUCUGUGGCACCAGCUGCCGGCAAAGCUGCUUGUCGAUGUCCCCACAGAAGCUGCACAGAGGAAACGACUUGGCAAGUGGCUGCAAGACCAGCAGAAUCCCUGGUUGCCCAGUGUCUCCUGCCAUGCGUGUUUUACUCUAAGCAGGCUGCCUUCCGCAACAACCACGUGGAGUGGCCCCUGAAUGACACCUGGAGUGAAAACUUCAUGGAAAGCAACGUCCACCCUCCCUUCUUCUCUCAUUGCUUCUUUCUAUUUGACGUGGCCUUAAGGAAGCUCACGUUAUCCCAUAACAGAAGGCAGUGGUGAUGGUAGGGGUGAGGGUAGGGAUACGCAUGAGAAUCAAUAUUUGUAAAUGAAACAGCGUUGUCCUCUUAGUAUUCUCAGUAAUAGAAUCCGCCUGUUCACCCGAGCUCCUACGCAAAUAUAGGAUCAUCUGAGCGUGGUUUCUCUGUAUCUCUCAACUCUUGACUUGACUUGCUAAUGUGGGAUCAAAUUCUUCAGCAUCAUCUAUUUUGUAAGGAUUUAAUUUCAUAUGUGAAAUCUGGGGAAUGGUGUAAUAUGACA